UAUUUUCUUAUGGAAUGAUUGCUAAGCCAGCUGCCAAAGAGAAUUUAUUUCUCCUUAUAUAGCACCUAUACGGCCAGAAGAGAGGGCAAGAGAAAUAAGAUUUAAGUUACAAAAUACUUUUACAUUUGAGAAGGAGAGCAAACAAGGGUGGUGGUCUAGGUGUAUCAAGAGUGAAGAAUUUCUUGCAAGGAGAAGAGAAACUAUUUCAGAUGAAUUAGCAGAUGGUUCUGGACUUGCUUAGAAGAUGAGAGAUCUGUGGGGAAAAAGGAGACAUAGGGAAUUUCUAAAAUAAAUAUGUUUGAAAUUUCAAACUGUGUGGAAUUUUAAAUUUCAGAAGUUUAUGAACUGUGUGAAAUUUUAUUUUAGAAGACUUGUGUUGUAAUAAAGCACUUAAUAUUUUGUUGA
This is a long non-coding RNA of Vigna angularis (adzuki bean), 405 nucleotides long. RefSeq lists it as uncharacterized. The transcript is spliced from 2 exons. The record is from RefSeq and is a predicted model, not a curated record. NCBI's taxonomy places the organism in Eukaryota, Viridiplantae, Streptophyta, Magnoliopsida, Fabales, Fabaceae.